This 153-nucleotide non-coding RNA is filed under the name Enterococcus sp. RNAcentral's name for it is "GlcN6P sequence". It matches the Rfam family "glmS glucosamine-6-phosphate activated ribozyme aptamer". Rfam says of the family: This entry contains a glucosamine-6-phosphate activated ribozyme that is found in the mRNA for GlmS. The record is from RNAcentral. Lineage: Bacteria; Bacillati; Bacillota; Bacilli; Lactobacillales; Enterococcaceae. RNAcentral also lists the same sequence under 1 other name.
CAAUAUUGAUAAGCGCCUGAUCUGUAUAAAUACAACAGAUGACGAGGAAAGGGUUGAUCGAAAUAUUCGGCGGAUGGCCCUAGGGACUACACUCUAAAAAGAAACACAAAAACUAUCUGUGAAGAUAGAACAAAAGGUUUCUUACGUAGCUGG